Molecule: long non-coding RNA, 342 nt
Organism: Sinocyclocheilus grahami
Lineage: Eukaryota; Metazoa; Chordata; Actinopteri; Cypriniformes; Cyprinidae
Exons: 3
Source: RefSeq, a predicted model, not a curated record
UAUCAUGAUGACCAACCGUUAUCCGUACAGCAGCGAUAUAAAACUGAUGCGAUGCUGAUGUCUGGAUCGAGCCCGGCCUCUCAGAUGAAUGCUGCCGUUUUAUUCCCGGUUGCCUAAAGAGCGACCCGGAGCAGAGGGUUCAUCUGGAGGAGAUGCUCUCCCAUGCCUGGUUCAAGGUCCUGUAGGUCGUGGUGAAGAGGGUCAGUCUUGUGUCUGGAGGACUGAGACAGGUGACCCCUCCAUCUCUCCAGCUUUAGCGUCUUGCGGGGCUGGCAGGCCUCUGUUGCGUCUGGUGCCUUUGCUUGAGGCAGCAGUUUUAGUGUCUUGAGGAACUACUCGUCU